RNAcentral lists this ribosomal RNA (154 nucleotides) under Phyllosticta sp. TACP00K10014. RNAcentral's name for it is "5.8S rRNA". It matches the Rfam family "5.8S ribosomal RNA". From Rfam's summary of the family: 5.8S ribosomal RNA (5.8S rRNA) is a component of the large subunit of the eukaryotic ribosome. The record is from RNAcentral. Lineage: Eukaryota; Fungi; Ascomycota; Dothideomycetes; Botryosphaeriales; Phyllostictaceae.
AAACUUUCAACAACGGAUCUCUUGGUUCUGGCAUCGAUGAAGAACGCAGCGAAAUGCGAUAGUAAUGUGAAUUGCAGAUUUCAGUGAAUCAUCGAAUCUUUGAACGCACAUUGCGCCCUCUGGUAUUCCGGAGGGCAUGCCUGUUCGAGCGUCA